UACAGGGGGUGCAAACGUUGCUCGGAAUUAUUGGGCGUAACGCGCGCGUAGGCGGCUACUUAAGUCGGAUGUGAAAGCCCCUGGCUCAACUGGGGAAGUGCACCCGAAACUGAGUGGCUUGAGUACUAAAGAGGGUCGCGGAAUUCCCGGUGUAGAGGUGAAAUUCGUAGAUAUCGGGAGGAACACCGGUGGCGAAGGCGGCGACCUGGGUAGAUACUGACGCUGAGGCGCGAAAGCGUGGGGAGCAAACAGG
Molecule: ribosomal RNA, 253 nt
Filed under: uncultured bacterium
Lineage: Bacteria
Description: partial 16S ribosomal RNA
Rfam family: Bacterial small subunit ribosomal RNA
Source: RNAcentral